ACGCACGCUGGCGGCGCGCCUAACACCUGCCAGUCGAACGGAGCUGAGAGAAGCUUGCUUUUCUUAGCUUAGUGGCGAACGGGUGAGUAACGCGUGAGUAACCUGCCCUGGAGUGGGGGACAACAGUUGGAAACGACUGCUAAUACCGCAUAAGCCCACGAUCCGGCAUCGGAUUGAGGGAAAAGGAUUUAUUCGCUUCAGGAUGGACUCGCGUCCAAUUAGCUAGUUGGUGAGGUAACGGCCCACCAAGGCGACGAUUGGUAGCCGGACUGAGAGGUUGAACGGCCACAUUGGGACUGAGACACGGCCCAGACUCCUACGGGAGGCAGCAGUGGGGGAUAUUGCACAAUGGGGGAAACCCUGAUGCAGCGACGCCGCGUGGAGGAAGAAGGUUUUCGGAUUGUAAACUCCUGUCGUUAGGGACGAUAAUGACGGUACCUAACAAGAAAGCACCGGCUAACUACGUG
RNAcentral lists this ribosomal RNA (467 nucleotides) under uncultured bacterium. RNAcentral describes it as "partial 16S ribosomal RNA". It matches the Rfam family "Bacterial small subunit ribosomal RNA", at positions 29 to 507 of the family's 1533-position model. The record is from RNAcentral.